GAUGAACGCUAGCUACAGGCUUAACACAUGCAAGUCGAGGGGAAACGACAUCGAAAGCUUGCUUUUGAUGGGCGUCGACCGGCGCACGGGUGAGUAACGCGUAUCCAACCUGCCCAUCACUUGGGGAUAACCUUGCGAAAGUAAGACUAAUACCCAAUGAUAUCUCUAGAAGACAUCUGAAAGAGAUUAAAGAUUUAUCGGUGAUGGAUGGGGAUGCGUCUGAUUAGCUUGUUGGCGGGGUAACGGCCCACCAAGGCAACGAUCAGUAGGGGUUCUGAGAGGAAGGUCCCCCACAUUGGAACUGAGGCACGGUCCAAACUCCUACGGGAGGCAGCAGUGAGGAAUAUUGGUCAAUGGGCGAGAGCCUGAACCAGCCAAGUAGCGUGCAGGAAGACGGCCCUAUGGGUGGUAAACUGCUUUUAGAAGGGAAUAAAGUGAGAGUCGUGACUCUUUUUGUAUGUACCUUAUGAAUAAGGACCGGCUAAUUCCGUG
Molecule: ribosomal RNA, 492 nt
Filed under: uncultured bacterium
Lineage: Bacteria
Description: partial 16S ribosomal RNA
Rfam family: Bacterial small subunit ribosomal RNA
Source: RNAcentral